AGUGGCGGACGGGUGAGUAACGCGUAAGAAUCUAACUUCAGGACGGGGACAACAGUGGGAAACGACUGCUAAUACCCGAUGUGCCGCGAGGUGAAACCUAAUUGGCCUGAAGAAGAGCUUGCGUCUGAUUAGCUAGUUGGUGGGGUAAGAGCCUACCAAGGCGACGAUCAGUAGCUGGUCUGAGAGGAUGAGCAGCCACACUGGGACUGAGACACGGCCCAGACUCCUACGGGAGGCAGCAGUGGGGAAUUUUCCGCAAUGGGCGAAAGCCUGACAGAGCAACGCCGCGUGAGGGAGGAAGGUCUUUGGAUUGUAAACCUCUUUUCUCAAGGAAGAAGUUCUGACGGUACUUGAGGAAUCAGCCUCGGCUAACUCCGUGCCAGCAGCCGCGGUAAUACGGGGGAGGCAAGCGUUAUCCGGAAUUAUUGGGCGUAAAGCGUCCGCAGGUGGUCAGCCAAGUCUGCCGUCAAAUCAGGUUGCUUAACGACCUAAAGGCGGUGGAAACUGGCAGACUAGAGAGCAGUAGGGGUAGCAGGAAUUCCCAGUGUAGCGGUGAAAUGCGUAGAGAUUGGGAAGAACAUCGGUGGCGAAAGCGUGCUACUGGGCUGUAUCUGACACUCAGGGACGAAAGCUAGGGGAGCGAAAGGGAUUAGAUACCCCUGUAGUCCUAGCCGUAAACGAUGGAUACUAGGCGUGGCUU
Molecule: ribosomal RNA, 700 nt
Filed under: uncultured bacterium
Lineage: Bacteria
Description: bacterial SSU rRNA
Rfam family: Bacterial small subunit ribosomal RNA
Source: RNAcentral